Molecule: ribosomal RNA, 253 nt
Filed under: uncultured bacterium
Lineage: Bacteria
Description: partial 16S ribosomal RNA
Rfam family: Bacterial small subunit ribosomal RNA
Source: RNAcentral
GACAGAGGCCUCAAGCGUUAGGCGGAAUCACUGGGCUUAAAGCGUGUGUAGGCGGAUCGUUAAGUGUCUUGUGAAAUCCCACGGCUCACCCGUGGAACUGCUGGGCAUACUGGCGAUCUUGGGCCAACUAGGGGCAACUGGAACAAGCGGUGGAGCGGUGAAAUGCGUAGAUAUCGUCUGGAACGCCAAAGGUGAAAACAGACUGCUGGGGCUGUGCUGACGCUGAGACACGAAAGCCAGGGGAGCGAACGGG